CUAUAUAUAAAUUACACAUACAAGUUGUUGAGAACUUAGCAUUUUGGACCAGAUUUUUAAGUUUAUUGUUUUUAUGCGCUUUUACAUUAAAUAUCAUCAUUUUUCUCAUCAUCACUUUCAAUUUUUAUGGAAGUUAUAUAUCCUAUAUUUUACUAAAAGUACCCAAAAAAAAAAAAAAAUAUCGAUAUCUUUAAACCAAAAGUGACCACUACCACUAUCGGAUUCGUUUAGUUUCCAACGGCAGUCACUUAAUAUCAAUUUCUUUAAUUUUCUUGUAGCGAUCAUCACUUUUUCAAAUCGAUAUGGAG
RNAcentral lists this long non-coding RNA (308 nucleotides) under Capsella rubella. RNAcentral describes it as "long non-coding RNA (CRUB_LNC001422)". The record is from RNAcentral. Lineage: Eukaryota; Viridiplantae; Streptophyta; Magnoliopsida; Brassicales; Brassicaceae.